RNAcentral lists this transfer RNA (65 nucleotides) under Uroleucon erigeronensis. Its description in RNAcentral is "tRNA-Phe". Lineage: Eukaryota; Metazoa; Arthropoda; Insecta; Hemiptera; Aphididae. The record is from RNAcentral.
AUUUAAAUAGCUUAAUUUGAGAGUAUUAUAUUGAAGAUAUAAAGGUAAAUUUAUUUUUUUAAAUA